Molecule: transfer RNA, 68 nt
Filed under: Marmota monax (woodchuck)
Lineage: Eukaryota; Metazoa; Chordata; Mammalia; Rodentia; Sciuridae
Description: tRNA.Ala
Source: RNAcentral
GGAGAUAGCUCAGUUGGUACAGUACUUGCCUUGCCUGCACAAAGCCCUGGGUUCAAUCCCCAGCACCA